RNAcentral lists this ribosomal RNA (558 nucleotides) under uncultured Exiguobacterium sp. Its description in RNAcentral is "bacterial SSU rRNA". It matches the Rfam family "Bacterial small subunit ribosomal RNA", at positions 905 to 1462 of the family's 1533-position model. Lineage: Bacteria; Bacillati; Bacillota; Bacilli; Caryophanales. The record is from RNAcentral.
AGGAAUUGACGGGGACCCGCACAAGCGGUGGAGCAUGUGGUUUAAUUCGAAGCAACGCGAAGAACCUUACCAACUCUUGACAUCCCAUUGACCGCUUGAGAGAUCAAGUUUUCCCUUCGGGGACAAUGGUGACAGGUGGUGCAUGGUUGUCGUCAGCUCGUGUCGUGAGAUGUUGGGUUAAGGCCCGCAACGAGCGCAACCCCUAUCCUUAGUUGCCAGCAUUCAGUUGGGCACUCUAGGGAGACUGCCGGUGACAAACCGGAGGAAGGUGGGGAUGACGUCAAAUCAUCAUGCCCCUUAUGAGUUGGGCUACACACGUGCUACAAUGGACGGUACAAAGGGCAGCGAGACCGCGAGGUGGAGCCAAUCCCAUAAAGCCGUUCCCAGUUCGGAUUGCAGGCUGCAACUCGCCUGCAUGAAGUCGGAAUCGCUAGUAAUCGCAGGUCAGCAUACUGCGGUGAAUACGUUCCCGGGUCUUGUACACACCGCCCGUCACACCACGAGAGUUUGCAACACCCGAAGCCGGUGAGUAACCGACAAGGAGCCAGCCGUCGAAGU